GAUGAACGUUGGCGGUGUGCCUAAUACAUGCAAGUCGAACGGAGUCAAUAGCAAUAUUGGCUCAGUGGCGAACGGGUGAGUAACGCGUUGGUGAUCUGCCUUGAAGUGUGGAAUAACGUUUCGAAAGAGACGCUAAUACCGCAUGUGCUCUCGAUUUUCAGAAAGUUGAGAGUAAAGGAUUUAUUCGCUUCAAGAGGAGCCUGCGUCCCAUCAGCUGGUUGGUAGGGUAACGGCCUACCAAGGCUAUGACGGGUAGGGGACCUGAGAGGGUGGCCCCCCCACAAUGGAACUGAAACACGGUCCAUACACCUACGGGUGGCAGCAGUAGGGAAUAUUAGAAAUGGACGAAAGUCUGAUCUAGCAACACCGCGUGUGCGAAGAAGGCCUUCGGGUCGUAAAGCACUUUUUGGAAGGAAUAGGAAGGAAGGUACCUCCAGAAUAAGUCUCGGCUAACUACGUG
RNAcentral lists this ribosomal RNA (460 nucleotides) under uncultured bacterium. Its description in RNAcentral is "bacterial SSU rRNA". It matches the Rfam family "Bacterial small subunit ribosomal RNA", at positions 28 to 507 of the family's 1533-position model. The record is from RNAcentral.